This is a non-coding RNA of Microcebus murinus (gray mouse lemur), 330 nucleotides long. The record is from RefSeq and is a predicted model, not a curated record. Lineage: Eukaryota; Metazoa; Chordata; Mammalia; Primates; Cheirogaleidae.
CGUGAAUCUUGCUGCUUAGAGGGAAGGAGAGUUUGGUGCGUUUGCACGUGCGUCGGUUUUCUCGCAGCUGGCCACAUCACCUCAUCUUUGGUGACUUCCCUUGAAGUUGCAUUGCUUAAAUUCUUCAAGAAAGAUUCUGUGGGUUGAGAGAUUGGAAAAGGCACACCAGAGAUGGCUUGUCUCAGCUGGGAAGGCUGGAACCGCUGGGGCCAGAGGAUCCACCUUCCAGAUGGCGCCAUCUUCUCUUGCGCGUCUGGCUUCUGAUCUGGGCUGGGACUGUUGACCAGAGUGCCCAUCAGUAUGUGGCCUUUCCAGGUGGUGUGAGCUUUU